GUGAGGAAUAUUGGUCAAUGGGCGAGAGCCUGAACCAGCCAAGUAGCGUGAAGGAUGAAGGCUCUAUGGGUCGUAAACUUCUUUUAUAUGGGAAUAAAGUUUUCCACGUGUGGAAUUUUGUAUGUACCAUAUGAAUAAGGAUCGGCUAACUCCGUGCCAGCAGCCGCGGUAAUACGGAGGAUCCGAGCGUUAUCCGGAUUUAUUGGGUUUAAAGGGAGCGUAGGUGGAUUGUUAAGUCAGUUGUGAAAGUUUGCGGCUCAACCGUAAAAUUGCAGUUGAAACUGGCAGUCUUGAGUACAGUAGAGGUGGGCGGAAUUCGUGGUGUAGCGGUGAAAUGCUUAGAUAUCACGAAGAACUCCGAUUGCGAAGGCAGCUCACUAGACUGUCACUGACACUGAUGCUCGAAAGUGUGGGUAUCAAACAGGAUUAGAAACCCGUGUAGUCC
RNAcentral lists this ribosomal RNA (445 nucleotides) under uncultured bacterium. RNAcentral describes it as "partial 16S ribosomal RNA". It matches the Rfam family "Bacterial small subunit ribosomal RNA", at positions 354 to 796 of the family's 1533-position model. The record is from RNAcentral.